GGAGGCGUGGCUGAGUGGUUUAAAGCAGCAUCCUGCUAAGAUGUUGAUCGGGAAACCGGUCCGAAGGUUCGAAUCCUUCCGCCUCCG
This 87-nucleotide transfer RNA is filed under the name bacterium. RNAcentral's name for it is "tRNA-Ser". It matches the Rfam family "tRNA". From Rfam's summary of the family: Transfer RNA (tRNA) molecules are approximately 80 nucleotides in length. Their secondary structure includes four short double-helical elements and three loops (D, anti-codon, and T loops). The record is from RNAcentral.